CAUUUUUUUGUCUCCUACUGCUCUGUGUGCAGGUAAUUAUUUCUUUAUUAUACAAUGUGCAUAAAGUUUCUUUGCAGUAUUCUGUGCAUUUUCUGUGGUUAAGUAAAUGUUGGGUGCUAUUAGUUUUUUUUUGUGUGAAAACACUCAAGAAAUGUCAUGUUAAUUCUCAUGCAUACAGAGUUCUAUAAAAUAGAUGAUGUAAGCGGUGUAGUUUAUGUAGCAUGCUUUACUUUAUAUUCAGACUUUCUAUUAUUUUAUUCCUGCAUGAUUUAAAAUGUCCUAUAUGAUCACAAAGCAAUAUUGAGAAAAGAGACUAUGUUGAAUUGGUUAAACAAGACUGUUCAUGGUUGUCAUGAAGAAAUUCACAUUUCAGAUUAUUGUUUUAUUUUUAUUCAUUUUGUUUAUAUCAUCAUACUGUAUACGGUUAUGUUAAGAGCAGAGCUAUGAAGAACUGCUGUGGGUGGAGUUGUAACAUUUUUGAGCUUGCCGUUUUGUCUCCUGCUCUGUGUGCAGGAACCAAAUAAAGUGCAACAUCAUCCAAGUCCUGAGUGUGUGUGCUGAUGAAGGCUUUAAAAACAGGAAGUCUGGUCAUCUGCUCAAGAAAAAAACGGAACUCAAAGGAGGCAGAGCUGGGUGGAAGUUGAGCUUCCGGAUCGCCUGAUGGAUGAAGCUGUCCUCUUAUGCAAAAAUAGAUGUCAUUACGCAAUGAAUAUGUUGUCAUGAUAAUAAUCAUAAUGAAAUGAACGUGUUUUUAUAAAAUAAAAGUUUUAAUAUGAAAAAUGGCCAUUCUGAUGUAGUCCUGAAUAUGCAAUGAAUGUGCUGUUAAAAAUGAACAUCGAAAUGAGCGUGUCAAAGUAAAAUUACCAUUAAAAAAGUCAUUGUAAAACAAAUAUCAUAAAAAAACCUUAUAAUGAAAUAAAUGUGCAAUCCUGAAGCAAAUGUCAUAGAAAAAAUGUUAU
Molecule: long non-coding RNA, 959 nt
Organism: Clarias gariepinus (North African catfish)
Lineage: Eukaryota; Metazoa; Chordata; Actinopteri; Siluriformes; Clariidae
Exons: 3
Source: RefSeq, a predicted model, not a curated record